GAUGAACGCUGGCGGCGUGCCUAAUACAUGCAAGUCGAGCGAACAGACGAGGAGCUUGCUCCUCUGACGUUAGCGGCGGACGGGUGAGUAACACGUGGAUAACCUACCUAUAAGACUGGGAUAACUUCGGGAAACCGGAGCUAAUACCGGAUAAUAUAUUGAACCGCAUGGUUCAAUAGUUCAAGACGGUUUUGCUGUCACUUAUAGAUGGAUCCGCGCCGCAUUAGCUAGUUGGUAAGGUAACGGCUUACCAAGGCAACGAUGCGUAGCCGACCUGAGAGGGUGAUCGGCCACACUGGAACUGAGACACGGACCAGAAGACUACGGGAGGCAGCAGUAGGGAAUAUUACGCAAUGGGCGAAAGCCUGACGGAGCAAAGCCGCGUGAGUGAAGAAGGUCUUCGGAUCGUAAAACUCUGUUAUUAGGGAAGAAAAAAUGUGUAAGUAACUAUGCACGUCUUGACGGUACCUAAGCAGAAAGCCACGGCUAACUACGUG
RNAcentral lists this ribosomal RNA (497 nucleotides) under uncultured bacterium. Its description in RNAcentral is "partial 16S ribosomal RNA". It matches the Rfam family "Bacterial small subunit ribosomal RNA", at positions 28 to 507 of the family's 1533-position model. The record is from RNAcentral.